UGGGGUAUAUUGCACAAUGGGCGCAAGCCUGAUGCAGCCAUGCCGCGUGUGUGAAGAAGGCCUUCGGGUUGUAAAGCACUUUCAGCGGGGAGGAAGGCGAUAAGGUUAAUAACCUUGUCGAUUGACGUUACCCGCAGAAGAAGCACCGGCUAACUCCGUGCCAGCAGCCGCGGUAAUACGGAGGGUGCAAGCGUUAAUCGGAAUUACUGGGCGUAAAGCGCACGCAGGCGGUUUGUUAAGUCAGAUGUGAAAUCCCCGGGCUCAACCUGGGAACUGCAGCUGAUACUGGCAAGCUUGAGUGUCGUAGAGGGGGGUAGAAUUCCAGGGGUAGCGGUGAAAUACGUAGAGAUCUGGAGGAAUACCGGUGGCGGAGGCGGCCCCCUGGACGAAGACUGACGCUCAGGUGCGAAAGCGUGGGGAGCAAACAGG
This 429-nucleotide ribosomal RNA is filed under the name Chloroflexota bacterium. Its description in RNAcentral is "Chloroflexi bacterium partial 16S ribosomal RNA". It matches the Rfam family "Bacterial small subunit ribosomal RNA", at positions 355 to 776 of the family's 1533-position model. Lineage: Bacteria; Bacillati; Chloroflexota. The record is from RNAcentral.